Equus caballus (horse) is the source of this 1592-nucleotide non-coding RNA. The record is from RefSeq and is a predicted model, not a curated record. Lineage: Eukaryota; Metazoa; Chordata; Mammalia; Perissodactyla; Equidae.
ACCAGUUCUCCCCACAGCUGAGCUCUGUGAGCACCGAGGACACUGCUUCUGACCUUUUCUAGGUCAUCAGAACCAGUAACUCAGGCUUUACCUGACACCCACAGACGUUAUCUAUCUUAUGGUAGAGGAAAACCGAGAUUGAAAGUGACUCAGUCCCUCACAGAGGCCUGCAUUACCAUGUGUCCACACAGAAGCCUCCAUUGUUCUCUAGCAUAUCAUCCAAUGUCAUCUUGCAAGAAACUGAACAAGCAGGCGAAUUUGCCAUCUGUCUUCUUCCCACCCAUGUUACAAUUGGUGCUGAAGGUCUCUUCUGCUUCUGCUUAGAUGGAAGCCCACACGUUCCUUGGGAAGAGAAAGGUUAGGCACCCUUGCAUACCGGGUGCCUCCCCUCUGGGCUGUGCUCUGAGGCAUGAGAAGGCCACUGGCUGCUCUGGGAAAAUCCACCUGCGGGAAGGCUGUGAUUUCUCCAGCAGGAGCACGACAGUCAUGUACAGGGGUCCUGUCCCAGGGCCGCUGCCAGAGUCAAGGCCAGGACUGGAGAAGACUUUGCAGACCCUCUCCCUCUCCUGCUCUGUCUCUGGAAUCUCCUUCAUCAGCAGUUACUUUCGGGCCUGAAUCCGGCAGCCUCCAGGAAGGGGCUGGAGUGGAUGGGCUGCCUCGGCUCCAGUGGUGGCUCACGCCUCGCCUCAGCCCAUCCUUUCAGAGCCGACUCUCCAUCUUCAAAGACACAUUUGUGAACCUGCAGCUGAGCUCUGUGUCCACUGAGGACACAGCCUUGUAUUACUGUGCGAGACUCACAGAAACACACAGAGAGGGCAAGUCAGUGUGAGCCUAGACCCAAGCAUCCCUGCAGGGAGACUGGAGGGGCUGGGAUGCAGGGGAUGCUCAGGACCACAGAGUAUGGGGACCAGCUCGGGAGCAGGUGAAUGGUGGCACAUGUCCUCUGUUACUCUGGUCUGGGGCUUUCUUCUCUGUCCUCUCCCAAGGACUCACUGUCCUCACAUUGUCUUGCACCUUCUUUAACACCUUAGAGGAAGCUGGUUACUGCCUCUGCUCAAUUAUUUAAAAUAGUCAGAGGAGUCCUUACUACUUCCUUCAGUUUGUACUCCAGGAGACACUGCAACAUAUGUCACAAAUUGGGAGAGGCCUUGGGCAGUGACUGGAAGUAUGUAACUGCAGCACCAGGAACCAAUUACCUCAGGCAGUAGUGAAAAUGGGCCAGUCUUCUCUCGUCUGCCUCUGUUGAAUGAAACACACAAGUGCUUUAAUCCAGUGAUAUUAAACAAAUAAAUAGCCUUCUCUUCCCCAGCUAAAACUAAGUUUAUCUGCGAUCAGCAAUGGAUUGCAAUUCACGGUGGGCCUGCUGUGGUGCCCCUUGGGCAAAUCCAGAGAGAGGAAGGAGUGGGCUUGCUGUUAUAGAGAGAAAGGUGGAGUCCGGGCGACUGUUCUAAAUGAAUGUUCAUUGGAGGGAAAGAAAAGGUCAGGGUGGUGAUGGCUUCUCAUUGGCUGAGCUGCAGUGUUUCCACUGGAUGGGUUGUUGCCCAGUGGGGAGAGGAAUCUUCUUUCAACAGUAAAGUUCGUACCUCCUUCUG